AGCUCCAAUAGCGUAUAUUAAAGUUGUUGCGGUUAAAAAGCUCGUAGUUGGAUUUCUGUCGAGGACGACCGGUCCGUACUUUGUGCGUGUAUCUGGCUCGGCCUUGGCAUCCUCUCGGGGAACGUUUCUGUGUUUCAUUACAUGGGGCGGUAUUCGGGACUUUUACUUUGAGGAAAUUAGAGUGUUCACGGCAGGCUUUCGCCUUGAAUACAUUAGCAUGGAAUAAUAAUAUAGGACCUUGGUACUAUUUUGUUGGUUUCUAGAACUAAGGUAAUGAUUAAUAGGGAUAAUUGGGGGCAUUCGUAUUAACGCGUCAGAGGUGGAAUUCUUGGAUUGCGUUACGACGAACUACUGCGAAAGCAUUUGCCAAGGAUGUUUUCA
Molecule: ribosomal RNA, 381 nt
Filed under: uncultured eukaryote
Lineage: Eukaryota
Description: SSU rRNA
Rfam family: Eukaryotic small subunit ribosomal RNA
Source: RNAcentral